CUACGUGCCAGCAGCCGCGGUAAUACGUAGGUGGCAAGCGUUGUCCGGAAUUAUUGGGCGUAAAGCGCGCGCAGGUGGUUUAAUAAGUCUGAUGUGAAAGCCCACGGCUCAACCGUGGAGGGUCAUUGGAAACUGUUAAACUUGAGUGCAGGAGAGAAAAGUGGAAUUCCAUGUGUAGCGGUGAAAUGCGUAGAUAUAUGGAGGAACACCGGUGGCGAAAGCGGCUCUCUGGCUUGUAACUGACGCUGAGGCUCGAAAGCGUGGGGAGCAAACAGGAUUAGAUACCCUGGUAGUCCACGCAGUAAACGAUGAUAACUGGGCGUAUGCGAUAUACAGUAUGCUCCUAAGCGAAAGCGUUAAGUUAUCCACCUGGGGAGUACGCCGGCAACGGUGAAACUCAAAGGAAUUGACGGGGGCCCGCACAAGCGGAGGAACAUGUGGUUUAAUUCGAUGAUACGCGAGGAACCUUACCCGGGAU
Molecule: ribosomal RNA, 478 nt
Filed under: uncultured bacterium
Lineage: Bacteria
Description: bacterial SSU rRNA
Rfam family: Bacterial small subunit ribosomal RNA
Source: RNAcentral